Molecule: transfer RNA, 74 nt
Filed under: Prevotellaceae bacterium
Lineage: Bacteria; Pseudomonadati; Bacteroidota; Bacteroidia; Bacteroidales; Prevotellaceae
Description: tRNA-Pro
Rfam family: tRNA
About the family: Transfer RNA (tRNA) molecules are approximately 80 nucleotides in length. Their secondary structure includes four short double-helical elements and three loops (D, anti-codon, and T loops). Further hydrogen bonds mediate the characteristic L-shaped molecular structure. tRNAs have two regions of fundamental functional importance: the anti-codon, which is responsible for specific mRNA codon recognition, and the 3' end, to which the tRNAs corresponding amino acid is attached (by aminoacyl-tRNA synthetases). tRNAs cope with the degeneracy of the genetic code in two manners: having more than one tRNA (with a specific anti-codon) for a particular amino acid; and 'wobble' base-pairing, i.e. permitting non-standard base-pairing at the 3rd anti-codon position.
Source: RNAcentral
CGGGGUGUGGCGCAGUUGGCUAGCGCGCUACGUUCGGGACGUAGAGGCCGAAGGUUCAAGUCCUUUCACCCCGA